UCCAAAAAAAAAGGUCUAAUUUUUGGUAAAUUUUAAAAAAUGUUGCGAGAGGUCAACCUUUUGCAAUGUUUAAAAAAUGUUGUGAAAAGUCUACCUUUUGCAACGUUCAUAAAACGUUGCCAUGGCAACGUUUUAUGAACGUUGCAAAAGGUAAACUUUUCGCAACAUUUUUUAAGUGUUGCAAAAAAUUAAACUUUUCGCAACAUUUCAA
This 211-nucleotide small RNA is filed under the name Olea europaea subsp. europaea. Lineage: Eukaryota; Viridiplantae; Streptophyta; Magnoliopsida; Lamiales; Oleaceae. The record is from RNAcentral.